Molecule: transfer RNA, 71 nt
Filed under: Ictidomys tridecemlineatus (thirteen-lined ground squirrel)
Lineage: Eukaryota; Metazoa; Chordata; Mammalia; Rodentia; Sciuridae
Description: Spermophilus tridecemlineatus (thirteen-lined ground squirrel) tRNA
Rfam family: tRNA
About the family: Transfer RNA (tRNA) molecules are approximately 80 nucleotides in length. Their secondary structure includes four short double-helical elements and three loops (D, anti-codon, and T loops). Further hydrogen bonds mediate the characteristic L-shaped molecular structure. tRNAs have two regions of fundamental functional importance: the anti-codon, which is responsible for specific mRNA codon recognition, and the 3' end, to which the tRNAs corresponding amino acid is attached (by aminoacyl-tRNA synthetases). tRNAs cope with the degeneracy of the genetic code in two manners: having more than one tRNA (with a specific anti-codon) for a particular amino acid; and 'wobble' base-pairing, i.e. permitting non-standard base-pairing at the 3rd anti-codon position.
Source: Rfam by way of RNAcentral
GGGAAUGUAGUUCAGUGGUAGAGCACUUGCCUAGCAUGUAUGAGAUCCUAGGUUUGACCCCAGCACCCCCA